RNAcentral lists this long non-coding RNA (201 nucleotides) under Mytilus galloprovincialis (Mediterranean mussel). The record is from RNAcentral. Lineage: Eukaryota; Metazoa; Mollusca; Bivalvia; Mytilida; Mytilidae.
CACUUAUCACAGCUUCAGAUUGAACCCGAUCUUAAUAAUUUACGACGAAAAAUAUCUGCUCCAAAAAAUUUAUAACAUUGCCUAAUUUUUUUUACAAAAUUGCACAAAUCCCCAAUUUUCAGCCUCAAUUUUCUCGAAAACAAGCACGGUGACCUAUGUUUUAUUUUGUGUUUUAUUUUAUAACUCGCCAAGGCCUACAAC